AGUACUUGUGCGUGGAAUCAGUGGUGUUUAACAAAGUUUUGAACAUGAUGUCUCCAGCAAGGAUAUGUUUGAUGACGGUUACCAUGGAAAUGAACUCACGGACCUAUGUCAAAAAUGUCUUUUUCUGAUAAAAUAAAUAUAAUGCUAUCCAUUUCA
This is a long non-coding RNA of Ostrea edulis (European flat oyster), 156 nucleotides long. RefSeq lists it as uncharacterized. The transcript has 2 exons. The record is from RefSeq and is a predicted model, not a curated record. NCBI's taxonomy places the organism in Eukaryota, Metazoa, Mollusca, Bivalvia, Ostreida, Ostreidae.